RNAcentral lists this ribosomal RNA (528 nucleotides) under uncultured bacterium. RNAcentral describes it as "bacterial SSU rRNA". It matches the Rfam family "Bacterial small subunit ribosomal RNA", at positions 980 to 1509 of the family's 1533-position model. The record is from RNAcentral.
CUUGACAUCCAGCGAACUUGGCAGAGAUGCCUUGGUGCCUUCGGGAACGCUGAGACAGGUGCUGCAUGGCUGUCGUCAGCUCGUGUUGUGAAAUGUUGGGUUAAGUCCGCAACGAGCGCAACCCUUAUCCUUUGUUGCCAGCGAUUCGGUCGGGAACUCAAAGGAGACUGCCGGUGAUAAACCGGAGGAAGGUGGGGAUGACGUCAAGUCAUCAUGGCCCUUACGAGUAGGGCUACACACGUGCUACAAUGGCGCAUACAAAGAGAAGCGACCUCGCGAGAACAAGCGGACCUCAUAAAGUGCGUCGUAGUCCGGAUCGGAGUCUGCAACUCGACUCCGUGAAGUCGGAAUCGCUAGUAAUCGUGGAUCAGAAUGCCACGGUGAAUACGUUCCCGGGCCUUGUACACACCGCCCGUCACACCAUGGGAGUGGGUUGCAAAAGAAGUAGGUAGCUUAACCUUCGGGAGGGCGCUUACCACUUUGUGAUUCAUGACUGGGGUGAAGUCGUAACAAGGUAAGCGUAGCGAG